UAAUGGGUCAGCGACUUAUAUUCUGUAGCAAGGUUAACCGAAUAGGGGAGCCGAAGGGAAACCGAGUCUUAACUGGGCGUUAAGUUGCAGGGUAUAGACCCGAAACCCGGUGAUCUAGCCAUGGGCAGGUUGAAGGUUGGGUAACACUAACUGGAGGACCGAACCGACUAAUGUUGAAAAAUUAGCGGAUGACUUGUGGCUGGGGGUGAAAGGCCAAUCAAACCGGGAGAUAGCUGGUUCUCCCCGAAAGCUAUUUAGGUAGCGCCUCGUGAAUUCAUCUCCGGGGGUAGAGCACUGUUUCGGCAAGGGGGUCAUCCCGACUUACCAACCCGAUGCAAACUGCGAAUACCGGAGAAUGUUAUCACGGGAGACACACGGCGGGUGCUAACGUCCGUCGUGAAGAGGGAAACAACCCAGACCGCCAGCUAAGGUCCCAAAGUCAUGGUUAAGUGGGAAACGAUGUGGGAAGGCCCAGACAGCCAGGAUGUUGGCUUAGAAGCAGCCAUCAUUUAAAGAAAGCGUAAUAGCUCACUGGUCGAGUCGGCCUGCGCGGAAGAUGUAACGGGGCUAAACCAUG
RNAcentral lists this ribosomal RNA (577 nucleotides) under Escherichia coli. Its description in RNAcentral is "partial 23S ribosomal RNA". It matches the Rfam family "Bacterial large subunit ribosomal RNA", at positions 613 to 1191 of the family's 2925-position model. RNAcentral also lists the same sequence under 1 other name. Lineage: Bacteria; Pseudomonadati; Pseudomonadota; Gammaproteobacteria; Enterobacterales; Enterobacteriaceae. The record is from RNAcentral.